CCUUCUUCCUUCUCCCUCUUCCUUUUCUCCCUGUGACACCAUAAGCCUCCCAACAGCACCACCAGCCUCACUCACGGCAGCCGGCAGCAGGAAGGCUGCUUCUCUCCUCCCUCACGGCAGCGAGCAGCAGGUAGGCUGCGUGUCUUUCCGCACCACCAGCAGCUCGGCUACUGUACCGCCAGCAGGGGACAGUCCGUGUGACUCCUUCUCCCCAUUUCGCACAGUGAGUCACCACCACCACAAAAACCACCUACCUCCUUGUCCAUCUCCUAGUUUUCACCUUUGUGCCCAUUUCGUAAGAGGAAAGUAGAGCCUUAGUUGGGGUGAUUUUUUGUGACUUUUGAUCGUGCAGUGACGCUUACAGCCUUUGGUCUAAUGUCGAGCAGCAGGAGGAUCAUAGACAGGCGUAGCAGGUACUGGAGCUUCUUUUGCAUUGCAUUGCAUUUGGGGAGAGUGAUGAGGGCGAAGCAUAACCUGUGUCAUACCGCUAUCUUUCGAUUUUGUAGUUCUUGUUAUCUUUUGUAAACUUUGGUUGUAUAUGUUUUGUUACGAGGCCUUGUGUCCUCCCUGGUAUAUUUGUAUUUCCGCUGCGUAGUUUAUAACUCUGUAUGGUUUUAAGGAGUUAAGUCUUUUUAAAACGCAAACGUCGACACU
Long non-coding RNA from Amaranthus tricolor (Joseph's coat), 654 nucleotides. RefSeq lists it as uncharacterized. The transcript is spliced from 3 exons. The record is from RefSeq and is a predicted model, not a curated record. Lineage: Eukaryota; Viridiplantae; Streptophyta; Magnoliopsida; Caryophyllales; Amaranthaceae.